CGUGAGGUCGGAAGUUCAAGUCUUCCCAGGCCCACCACUUUGAUCGAGCGCAUUGCGUCUCAAUAAUCGACGUAAAGCAUUCGUCUUCUGGUACGGGGCCAUAGCUCAGCUGGGAGAGCGCGUGCUUUGCAAGCAUGAGGUCGUCGGUUCGAUCCCGUCUGGCUCCACCAGAUGAAAUCGAAGAUCGAGAUGCCUCGAAUAAUCGUCCGCGAAACAUCACUUCGCAUGCGUAGUCCGGAUGGACAGCGUCAUGCGUGAUAUCUGACAUCGUAAAGAGGAGAUCGAUCCGAGUUUGGGAUCUGCAAAGCAAUUUGCGGAAUCUCAUUCCUAAUCUCCAGAUCAUUUCGGCGCUCGCUCAUCGCAAGAUGAGUGAGUUGUAAAUGGUCUUUGUAGCGAAGCUUGACCGCCUCGCUAUCGGUUCGAUCUUACGAAGCAAGCUGGUCUUUCUAAUCAGUGUCCAGCCGCAUGCAGCAUUCAUCGAGGGUGCGCGCCUUUUGACUUCGGUCUUGAGGCAAGUGUGCGGACAACAUUCUGCCGAGUGUGUGGACAUUGAUAAUGAGAGCAAUCAAGUGCCUUAAGGGUGUUCGGUGGAUGCCUUGGCGCUGAGAGGCGAUGAAGGACGUGCUACGCUGCGAUAAGCCGUGGGGAGCUGCGAAGAAGCUUUGAUCCACGGAUUUCCGAA
RNAcentral lists this unclassified non-coding RNA (682 nucleotides) under Bradyrhizobium sp. RNAcentral's name for it is "partial contains 16S-23S ribosomal RNA intergenic spacer and 23S ribosomal RNA". The stretch from base 564 to 682 matches the Rfam family "Bacterial large subunit ribosomal RNA", at positions 1 to 118 of the family's 2925-position model. Lineage: Bacteria; Pseudomonadati; Pseudomonadota; Alphaproteobacteria; Hyphomicrobiales; Nitrobacteraceae. The record is from RNAcentral.